Molecule: long non-coding RNA, 5702 nt
Organism: Alexandromys fortis (reed vole)
Lineage: Eukaryota; Metazoa; Chordata; Mammalia; Rodentia; Cricetidae
Exons: 3
Source: RefSeq, a predicted model, not a curated record
CUCCCUCACCAUUCCCCAGCCGAGUAAUAGGCCUUUCUCUUGAUGCUGGAAGCAAGCCUUUCUUUCCAUAGAAUGAGACCAGUUUCCAUAGAACCAGUCUAGUCUAGUUUUGGUGACUCAAUUGAUCUGACUGCAGGACCUGCUCUGGCCUUUGAUGAAGCUCCAGUAGGACAUUUUCCUGGUUCGGUGAGCAUGUUGAACCUCCUCAAUUACCCUCCUUACCUCUUGGCUUGUCUGAGCCUGGACCUACCUUGUUUCUCAGAGUCCUUACUUUCUGAGGAUUCCUGUCCUAGCCAAAACCUCUCCUUCCUGAGCCAUUGUGCUCUGUUUGUUUCUAGGUCCCCCUUUCUCUGUUCCGCUCAACAUCUAGAGAGCUUCUGUUGGACCUCUUUGAAUGUCAACUGCAAGACAGGAUGGCUGUCCACCUCCUGUGGUUUGUUCGCCAGUUCAUUUGCCUGCUCAGAUGCACACUGCUGCUGACUUUGCCCCAAAGCUGCUCCCCCAUCACAAUGGGUAAUGUCUCAACCCCAGGCCCAGUUUGCAUAGCCUGGAGCUUUGAUUGUCUGUAGGCCCUAAACUCUGCCUUGACACCCAUCUUUUGGAGGGCCAACAGCAGCUGGCUCUGUCGCCCUUUCUGCAGCCUUAUUUGCCCAUCUAUGGCAGUGCCCCCUAGGUUUUCUUUCCUCGCAGGUAUGAAUAAGAACACAGCGGUUCGAGGUCCCUCGAGGGAAAGCUCUGUCUGAAAACAGGCGUGAUUACUAUUUCCAUCACCUUUCUAAUCCUGUAAUCACACAUUUGCAGCAGGGAGCCUGGCCAGGGAGAGGCCGCGUCCACAAGCGGCAGGGAAGAGGGGGCCGCGUGUUGCAUGCCAACAGUGCUUAUUGAAAACGUAGGCAUGGCUGCCUUUCAUGAGCAGGAAGGUGAAUAAUGGAGGCAUUUAUCCCAAGCAGCUCACAUUCAAACUGCGCGGACCUGUGUUCACAUUAUGAAAGCUUUGUCAAAGACAUAUCACCCUUCCGGGCCAAGGGGAUGCUGACUGGGCUCUCAGUCCUGUCUGCUGGCUGGAAGGUGUAGGAGGGGAGGAUGUCUGAAUUGCUGGCCGCCCAUUCACAAAGAUUCUCCCAUGCUCCUCCUUUUGGAUCUUGUAACUUUUAAUUUGGAAGCCCAUCUUUCUAUCAUGAGUGGGAAAAAUUCUUACAGAUGUUUGGAAACUGUUGUUCAGAACAAAUCCCUGGGGACAGGAGAGACGGCUUAGUGGUUAGGGGUACCCACUGCUCUUGCUGCAGACCAGAGUUUGAUUCCCUGCAUUCUGUCAUGCAGCACACAGGGACCUAUAGCUCCAGCUCCAUGGAUUCAACGCCCUCUUCUGGCCUCCAUGGGCAUCUGCACUCACGUGUGCUAUAAGUAAUUGUUAUUAUUAUUAUUUUUUUUUUAAUCUAGGAGGAGUCUCUAACAGGUAUGAGGUCAGUUUUUCUUUUGAGGUCAUAAGAGAAUGAGGCCAAAUGAGGCUAGACUUCAGAAGGGGAGGGGAAUGUUCUUCCAGGCCAUCUGUGUGUGAAACAGAUUUAACCAGCAGCCUUUGUGGCCGAGCAGAGAAAGGGGCCUUGGUAACACAGCAGCCACCCAGGUUACUGUAAGAGGGCGGCCCCAGCCAGAAAACAUACCUGACUCUUAUUUUUAGAUAAUUCCUUCCAAUUGAUCUACUUGCGUGUAAGAAUCUCUUCCCUUGUGCGAAGGAAACUUUAUCAUUUGCUUUUGCUGCAACUCAGACCACCCUAGAGGUCAGCGGCAUACAGGGAAAGCCUUUAUUCAGCUUGCAGCUCUGAGGAUCACCUGUGGUCAAUGGAGCUUGGCCAGCUUCUGCGCCAUGUCCCUCCUGUCCCGACCUGCUGGUGAGCAGAAGCAUGCAGUGCCUCUUAAAACCUAGGCUCAGAACUGCUGCACUGCCACGUGACCCCAAACUAAGCUAAGGAGUGGAGAGGGGUACUCCAUUCCUUUAUGGGAAGACCUGAAUGUAUGGAGUGACCUUCUUGAGGAGUCUAAUUCUAUCGACUCCAGAUGAAGAAGAUAAUGAACAACCAAAGUAACUGUUCAACCUAAGUCCAACGUGGCAAACCAACAGGCUUGUUGGGUUUAGUGACAGAAGCCCGAAUGACCCCAGCAGCUGCAUCACUGAAAAUCCUGGGGUUUUACCCCACUGUGGCUAUCAGCUCAGGAAUUCUGCCUUCCUGACCUUCCUCAUGCAACUUCCAAGCAGCUACACAACCAAAGAGUCUCCCCUGCUAAGAAACUUCCUUCUUCUUUCAAAGCCUGGGGUAGGGACCCCUAAUCUCAGGGGGAAGCCUGAAAGUCAUGCAAGUCUCCCGAGCCUUGUGAGAAUGUGAAGUUCCCUGUGAAUCUCACGAGCCUCACCCGCAAUCACCUGGAGGGCACGCUGCAAUUGAGUGGGAACAGCUGCAGCAAGUGGCGCAGAGAGAGGGUAGAGGAGUCGUGAGCUAAUGACACAGACUCGACACUCAGAACGCUGUCACGGUCAUGCCCCCCUCCCAUGAGGCUUUAACAGAGCUCUUAUAACCCCUCGUUGGGAUGGAGGAAAUGAUACAGGGCCCUCCAAAAGAGACUCAGUCGUCCAGGCUAAGCUGACCUCAUGACUCCGACCCGUCCUUCCUGCAGCACGUGCCUCCACGGCGAACAGCAAGGCAGAGUCUGCACUGAGCUGAAUGAUUCUUUCCAUUUUGUUAAAGUUGGGUCCUCAGAAGCUGUAGUUUCCAUGUCUGAAAUUUCCCGGGGAAAACAGAGCAGCCAGAGGAACACACGGCCAAGAGCAAAUAAAUAGGAGACAGACGCUACAACUCGGGGGUCACGUGACCCGCAUUACUGCUAAAUGAGAGGCAUGAAGCAGAGAGAUGAGUGAUGGCAUGCCCAACCUCAACUCGAGACCAGCGCAUGGAGCCGAGAUCUCUUGUAAACGAUCCAGACCGAGAUUUCACAUAAUUCUAAUAAAAGAGCGAGGCCUUACUAGGCCUCCGGACACUUCCGGCUAACAGGUUCUGAGCACAAGUUGUUGAAUUCCAUCAGUGGGCAUGGCUGAGAACUGGGCUACCAGCAAUGGGCUAGCAGCAGCAGCUCUGAGGGUUUCCAAAGAUCUGCACAUGACCCUGCCCCGUUCCCAACCCUGCAAUCCUCCCAUCCCCCAGAUUAAACAAAUCCUUGAUGCUCUUUUCCCUGCCAUGGAGCAUAUCAUUUCACAGUGUCUCGUUUGCUAGAGGUUACCAAAAGAAAGCUAAAUUGGGAUUUUGUUCACUUGCUGAUGACUUGCCCCUAUUACCCAAGCUCAUUUUCAGUGGCAUUUCAACACUUUGGUAAUGAAUUAGCUCUACCAUUUCUGACACAAAGAGAAGAGGGUCUAAAUUAAUUUUCAGCGAGAGAUACUAUUGGUCCAGGCCACUUCCCUCCCACUGUGUUAACAUCAAUGUCUUGUCUCGUUAAAUGCCGAUAAACAAGUGUAACACUCUAACAAGCCACAAAUUGGCUUAUUGACACCUCUGGCAGCUGCUCUCUCCUUCCCAAACCCUUGUUUCAUAGGCAUUCUGUGGUUACCCAAAAUGGGGGCUCUUACGGAGCACAGGAAGGAGACCAUGUAGCCAUCCUAGGCUCCCAAGCUGCUAAUUUUUGUUCUCUUUGAUUUAAAUCGAACAGCAGACUAUCGAAAUGCCUUGCCUCUGCUCUGGGCUCCAUCUGUGGCCCAGGUAUUAAUGGCUUCCCUGCAGAGUGGGUGGGCUCACUCUGACACCCUCCCAUCACCUCUCAGGAAUGACACCACCAAUGACUGUGACCUCACUGGGUGGCCCUCUCUGUGUCAGCAAAUCAGUAGCUCUUUAACUAGACUACCGUGUUUGCUCCCGGAAUGCUGAGACCCAGAUGAGCAGGUCAGUGUGCAACUGCACCUUGGGCAACCCGCCCAAGAGGUCACAGGAUGAUCAAAUGGCUGUUUCUUUGGGUGUACGGCAAAGGGCUGACCUUGCGCCUCCAGCAAGAAAACCAUACUGGAAGAUUAAAACAAAACAGGACCGAUCAAGAGUAAAGGUGCUCACAGUUGCAGCCAAUAACUGAUGGAUGCCUGCAUACACAGUCCCCAAAGCUGAUGGAUGCCUGUGUACACAGUCCCAUAGCUGAUGGAUGCCUGCACACAGUCAUGGCCACGAGAGAUCUUCCACCAUAACCCUGCUUGAGAGCCUAGGAACAGCAUAGAGAGCGCAUUCUGCUCACCUGGGACAGAUCUAGGUAUUUUCAGAGCAGGAGGAUGAAGGAGAGGUCUAAUUCUUUUCAUGUGAGGUUUUCGUUGUUUUUUCUGGUAUUCGAAGUCCCAUGCUGGGUUUCAAGUUCACAUUGUUGUGAAUCCGUCCAGGAAAUCUCUGCUCUGUAAUUCCCCCACGAGCAUAGCUGUGUUAUCAGUGAUCAGUAGAAUCAACAAUAGGAAAGGGAUAUGAAAACAACAUUGCAGGGUGCUGAUCGCCAGGGAGAUAGUCUCCCCGGGCUCUGUCUAAGCCUGCAGCAUGGCUAAGGAAGGGGCUUUGCACGAUCCCAGUUCUGCUCUGGACACAGAGCACAAAGGAAUCGGGCGAUAGCACUGAGUGCACGUGGCCAUGGCGGGACAUGCGCGUGAGUCAGACGUCGGAUGUAGAGGAUGCCGGAACAGCUGAACGCCCCGCCCUAAGUGCCGCUUGCCAUCUGAAGUCUCAGGCAGUGUGGCAACACGGGGAAAGGACGGAUCCGAGAGGAGGCCCUCCCCUGGCUGCAUCCUGAUCCAGAAUGUUCGUCUCUCUCUCUCCAUCUCACUGUAGCUCCUCUUUGAGGGGUCGGUUGAAAUAUCACUUCUUCAGUCUGAGGGACUAAAUUAAGCUCCUCUGACUGUGAAUGUCACCAGGCAGACACCGCCUUGGAUUCUGUUCUCAUCUGUACCAUCACACCACCGCCCGCAAUCCCAGGACAUGGCCGGGAACAGCUGAAAGGACACGGGACAGAAAAUGUUCAAGGGAAGCUUAAUGACAUGGCAAGACCUCUACAUGGUGUCACAGGCGAGAGAGGAGCAUCAGCCCAAGGAAAAAAUAGAGCUUGACAGGGUCUGGGUCUGAUACCCCUUUGUCCUCUGAAUGGGCUGUUCCUUGUCAUGAAACAAACUCAGGUUGAGAGUCGUGUUCUCGAGGGUCCCCGACUCUGCUCAGCAUCAGGAGCCAUGGAUGGCUUGAUGAGCAGCUUGCUCAUGUUCUCCAUCUUGACUUUACGUGUCCUCUGGGAGAAAGAACUACUCACUUAAAUGCCACACAAACUCCAAAAUCCAAAAGAGAACUUGUAACCCUGUCCUCCGGUUCUCUCUCAUUCCACAGAAAAGAACACUGAGACCCAGACACUCCAGAAUCUUCCCCAAGGGGCCUAAAGCAUAGGUAAAAGUCCGGAAGCCUGGUGUGCUCUCGAUGCUGUUCCCACAUUAUUUUCUUUUCCUCCUUAAAUAAAAGUUCUAUUAUUGAAAGAAUGCUAAACAUGAUGUUGAGAUAUGAAAGAGACUUCUUUAAGAAAUUAAACUUUAAGUUGAAUAUGUUAGUUGCCAUCUGUAAUCUCAUAUAGUAAGGAGGCUGAGGCAAGAGGGUCUCAAGUUCAAGGCCAGCCCAGACUACAUAGAGAGUUUGAGGCUAGACUGAGCA